CGUCUAUAUACGUAUAGCAUAUCAAUAAGCGGAGGAAAAGAAACUAACAAGGAUUCCCUUAGUAACGGCGAGUGAAGCGGGAAGAGCUCAAAUUUGAAAUCUUCAAGGUUUUACCUUGACGAAUUGUAGUUUAAAGAAGUGUUUUCUGUUGAAGUUUCGGUAAAAGUUCUUUGGAAUAGGACAUCAUAGAGGGUGAGAAUCCCGUAUUUGACCGUUAUUUUCAGCUGUGUGAUACACUUUCAAAGAGUCGGAUUGUUUGGGAAUGCAGUCCAAAAUGGGUGGUAAAUUUCAUCUAAAGCUAAAUAUUGGCGAGAGACCGAUAGCGAACAAGUACCGUGAGGGAAAGAUGAAGAGAACUUUGAAAAGAGAGUUAAACAGUACGUGAAAUUGUCAAAAGGGAAGCGUUUGACACCAGUGCUGUUUUCUCGAAAAUCAAUUAAAAAUGGCUUGAUUUUGUGUUGUAUUGACCUUAAAAGCUUUCUGCACUUUUUUCAUGUCUUUUUUAAUGCACUUUUCGUUUAACAAGUCAACAUCAGUUUCUUUUGUUGUAAAAAGGUCAUUGGAAGGUGGCUUUCUUUUCGGAGAAAGUGUUUAUAGCCUUUGACUCCUGCAAUCGGAGAGACUGAGGUCUGCAGCGUAGAUCCUUCUUGGAUUAGAUUCAUUUGUGCUAAGUUAUAGCUUUUUAUAGACAACUUGUUGACUAUAUUUAGUCAUGUAACUUACUCGCUUAUGUAAUUUUACCUACGCUUAGGAUGUUGAUCUGUAGUGCGUGCGC
Molecule: ribosomal RNA, 775 nt
Filed under: uncultured Neocallimastigales
Lineage: Eukaryota; Fungi; Neocallimastigomycota; Neocallimastigomycetes; Neocallimastigales
Description: partial large subunit ribosomal RNA
Rfam family: Eukaryotic large subunit ribosomal RNA
Source: RNAcentral